GAUGAACGCUGGCGGCGUGCCUAAUACAUGCAAGUCGAGCGAACGGACGAGAAGCUUGCUUCUCUGAUGUUAGCGGCGGACGGGUGAGUAACACGUGGAUAACCUACCUAUAAGACUGGGAUAACUUCGGGAAACCGGAGCUAAUACCGGAUAAUAUUUUGAACCGCAUGGUUCAAAAGUGAAAGACGGUCUUGCUGUCACUUAUAGAUGGAUCCGCGCUGCAUUAGCUAGUUGGUAAGGUAACGGCUUACCAAGGCAACGAUGCAUAGCCGACCUGAGAGGGUGAUCGGCCACACUGGAACUGAGACACGGUCCAGACUCCUACGGGAGGCAGCAGUAGGGAAUCUUCCGCAAUGGGCGAAAGCCUGACGGAGCAACGCCGCGUGAGUGAUGAAGGUCUUCGGAUCGUAAAACUCUGUUAUUAGGGAAGAACAUAUGUGUAAGUAACUGUGCACAUCUUGACGGUACCUAAUCAGAAAGCCACGGCUAACUACGUGCCAGCAGCCGCGGUAAUACGUAGGUGGCAAGCGUUAUCCGGAAUUAUUGGGCGUAAAGCGCGCGUAGGCGGUUUUUUAAGUCUGAUGUGAAAGCCCACGGCUCAACCGUGGAGGGUCAUUGGAAACUGGAAAACUUGAGUGCAGAAGAGGAAAGUGGAAUUCCAUGUGUAGCGGUGAAAUGCGCAGAGAUAUGGAGGAACACCAGUGGCGAAGGCGACUUUCUGGUCUGUAACUGACGCUGAUGUGCGAAAGCGUGGGGAUCAAACAGGAUUAGAUACCCUGGUAGUCCACGCCGUAAACGAUGAGUGCUAAGUGUUAGGGGGUUUCCGCCCCUUAGUGCUGCAGCUAACGCAUUAAGCACUCCGCCUGGGGAGUACGACCGCAAGGUUGAAACUCAAAGGAAUUGACGGGGACCCGCACAAGCGGUGGAGCAUGUGGUUUAAUUCGAAGCAACGCGAAGAACCUUACCAAAUCUUGACAUCCUUUGACAACUCUAGAGAUAGAGCCUUCCCCUUCGGGGGACAAAGUGACAGGUGGUGCAUGGUUGUCGUCAGCUCGUGCCGUGAGAUGUUGGGUUAAGUCCCGCAACGAGCGCAACCCUUAAGCUUAGUUGCCAUCAUUAAGUUGGGCACUCUAAGUUGACUGCCGGUGACAAACCGGAGGAAGGUGGGGAUGACGUCAAAUCAUCAUGCCCCUUAUGAUUUGGGCUACACACGUGCUACAAUGGACAAUACAAAGGGCAGCGAAACCGCGAGGUCAAGCAAAUCCCAUAAAGUUGUUCUCAGUUCGGAUUGUAGUCUGCAACUCGACUACAUGAAGCUGGAAUCGCUAGUAAUCGUAGAUCAGCAUGCUACGGUGAAUACGUUCCCGGGUCU
RNAcentral lists this ribosomal RNA (1372 nucleotides) under uncultured bacterium. Its description in RNAcentral is "bacterial SSU rRNA". It matches the Rfam family "Bacterial small subunit ribosomal RNA", at positions 28 to 1381 of the family's 1533-position model. The record is from RNAcentral.